This 429-nucleotide ribosomal RNA is filed under the name Chloroflexota bacterium. Its description in RNAcentral is "Chloroflexi bacterium partial 16S ribosomal RNA". It matches the Rfam family "Bacterial small subunit ribosomal RNA", at positions 355 to 776 of the family's 1533-position model. Lineage: Bacteria; Bacillati; Chloroflexota. The record is from RNAcentral.
UGGGGAAUAUUGCACAAUGGGCGCAAGCCUGAUGCAGCCAUGCCGCGUGUAUGAAGAAGGCCUUCGGGUUGUAAAGUACUUUCAGCGGGGAGGAAGGGAGUAAAGUUAAUACCUUUGCUCAUUGACGUUACCCGCAGAAGAAGCACCGGCUAACUCCGUGCCAGCAGCCGCGGUAAUACGGAGGGUGCAAGCGUUAAUCGGAAUUACUGGGCGUAAAGCGCACGCAGGCGGUUUGUUAAGUCAGAUGUGAAAUCCCCGGGCUCAACCUGGGAACUGCAUCCGAUACUGGCAAGCUUGAGUCUCGUAGAGGGGGGUAGAAUUCCAGGUGUAGCGGUGAAAUGCGUAGAGAUCUGGAGGAAUACCGGUGGCGAAGGCGGCCCCCUGGACAAAGACUGACGCUCAGGUGCGAAAGCGUGGGGAGCAAACAGG